RNAcentral lists this long non-coding RNA (425 nucleotides) under Hordeum vulgare. RNAcentral's name for it is "long non-coding RNA (HVUL_LNC002797)". The record is from RNAcentral. Lineage: Eukaryota; Viridiplantae; Streptophyta; Magnoliopsida; Poales; Poaceae.
CCUGAUCCUCAACUUCCUCCUCCGCCCCAUUGAAAUCUGCAUCAAACUCAUCCUCCUGCUUCAGAUUCCUGCCAUCGGAGCGAUACUUGACUGACUCUGGCAUCUCGAUCUCCAGCUCUUCAUCCUCUUCCUGAUCCUCAACUUCCUCCUCAGCCACAUUGAAAUCUGCAUCAAGAUCAUCAUCCUCCUCCUUCACAUUCCUGCCACCGGAGCAAUACUUGACUGACUCUGGCGUCUCGAUCUCCAGCUCUUCAUCCUCUUCCUGAUCCUCAAUUUCCUCCUCAGCCACAUUGAAAUCUGCAUCAAGCUCAUCCUCCUCCUUCACAUUCCUGCCACUGGAGCGGUACUUGACGGAUUGUGGCGUCUCGAUCUCCAACUCUUCAUCCUCUUCCUUAUCCUCAAACUCCUCGUCCCCAUCAAAAUCC